This 411-nucleotide ribosomal RNA is filed under the name uncultured bacterium. RNAcentral describes it as "bacterial SSU rRNA". It matches the Rfam family "Bacterial small subunit ribosomal RNA", at positions 30 to 428 of the family's 1533-position model. The record is from RNAcentral.
AGUGAACGCUGGCGGCAGGCCUAACACAUGCAAGUCGAGCGGCAGCGCGUCCGACCACCCUCGGGUGGUCGGAUGGCGGCGAGCGGCGGACGGGUGAGGAAUGCAUCGGAAUCUGCCUCGUUGUGGGGGAUAACGUAGGGAAACUUACGCUAAUACCGCAUACGACCUACGGGUGAAAGUGGGGGACCUUCGGGCCUCACGCGAUGAGAUGAGCCGAUGCCGGAUUAGCUAGUUGGCGGGGUAAAGGCCCACCAAGGCGACGGAUCCGUAGCUGGUCUGAGAGGAUGAUCAGCCACACUGGAACUGAGACACGGUCCAGACUCCUACGGGAGGCAGCAGUGGGGAAUAUUGGACAAUGGGGGCAACCCUGAUCCAGCCAUGCCGCGUGUGUGAAGAAGGCCUCGGUUGUAA